Molecule: ribosomal RNA, 461 nt
Filed under: uncultured bacterium
Lineage: Bacteria
Description: partial 16S ribosomal RNA
Rfam family: Bacterial small subunit ribosomal RNA
Source: RNAcentral
CCUAGGGCCGCUCCAGUCGAGAAUCUUCCGCAAUGGACGAAAGUCUGACGGAGCGACGCCGCGUGCGGGAUGAAGGCCUUCGGGUUGUAAACCGCUGUCAGUGGGGAGGAAAUGCAUCAGGGUUCUCCCUGGUGUUUGACCGAUCCGCAGAGGAAGCGCAGGCUAAGUUCGUGCCAGCAGCCGCGGUAACACGAACUGCGCGAACGUUAUUCGGAAUCACUGGGCUUAAAGAGUUCGUAGGCGGCCUUUCAAGUCGGGUGUGAAAUCCCUCGGCUCAACCGAGGAAUUGCGCCUGAUACUGUUGGGCUUGAGGGGGAUAGGGGUGAGCGGAACUGAUGGUGGAGCGGUGAAAUGCGUUGAUAUCAUCAGGAACACCGGUGGCGAAGGCGGCUCACUGGAUCUCUUCUGACGCUGAGGAACGAAAGCUAGGGGAGCGAACGGGAUUAGAUACCCCUGUAGUC